GCAGGACUCGGUGUGCUUUGCUUUUGUUCUGCAGAACAACAGCUUUCUGCUGUUCCCAAAUAAAGCCGUUUUGCAGGUAAAAUAACUGGCAGUUUUCCUUUUAAAGUUAACAUUUUGCUAUUUGUCCACUAUAUUUUCCCUUUCGUCCUGGGAUCCUGAUCAUAUGUAUGUUAGGCUUUUGAUGGGUACCCUCUGUCUCUUAAUUUCCUUUCCGCAUGCUUUGCCUUCUGUGCGCCAUCCUGGGUAAUUUCUUCAGCUGUAUCUUUCAAUUGAAUAAAGUCUCUCUGGCUGUGUCUAAUGUCCUACUAAGUCUUUCUUUGAUUUUCAAACUUCGAUAAUUCUGUUUUUCAUUUCUAAAAGUAGUGUUGUUUCCCCAGAACUGCCUAGUAAUUUGGGGUAGUUUGUCAUUUAUUUUUAAAGUAGGCUCCACACCCAAGCAGGGCUUGAACUCAUGACCCUGAGAUCAAGAGUCACAUGCUCUAUGGUCUGGCUCCCCUCUGCUCACGUGUUGUCAAGUUGGUUUGUUCUCUUGCAUGUUUGCUAAUGUUUAUGAUCUUAUCACUGCGAUUUGUGGGGAUCUUGGGGACCUAAACUGGGAGUGCUGUCUUCUAGAGUGGGCUCGAGAAAGGUUCUCCCAGAUGUCAGGAUGUGCCUGAAUGCAUUUGGUUCUCCUUGCAUUACGCUCAAAGCUUAGUCUCCUACUAACACUCACAUAAGCAUUUUCCUGUAGGAAAGGUCCUCCAUUGUAUAUUUUCUCGUAUUUUACCUCUCUGUUCUGAUUUAAGCUCAUUAUUGUCAAGUAAAAGCUCAUGGGUUUUUUUGUUUUGUUUUGUUUUGCUCAUGUUGGCGAGGAGGCUGGAGAGUCCCCUAUCUUCUCUGAGUGUAACAAUGAGGUACGAAGUAUGGACUAUACACGAUACAGCCUUUUUAUCGUGGUGAUAUGUACAUAACACACCAUUUACCAUUUUGACCGUUUUUAAGUGUACAAUUCAGCAGCGUUACAUCCAUUCACAAUAUUGUCCAAGUAUCACCACCACCCAUAUCCAGAAUUCUUUAUCUUGCAGAACUGAAACUCUGUACCCACUAACCAGUAAUGUGCCAUUCUCCUCUCUAUGAACUUGCGAUUCUAGGUACCUCAUUAUAAUUGUUAAUUUUAUGUGCCAACUUGACUGGUUCAUGAGGUGCCCGGAUUGUUGGUCCAACACUAUUCUGGGAGUGUCUGUGAGGAUGUUUUGGGAUGAGAUUAACAUUCAAAUGAUAGAAUGGGUAAAGCAGAUUGCCUUCCAAUCAGUUACAAGCCUGAAUAGAACAAAAAGGCUGACCUUCUUCAGAAUAAGAGAGAAUUCUUCCUGCCUGACUGCCUUUGAACUGGGACAUUCGCUUUUCCAGCUUUGGGCCUCAAACUGAAAUAUCAGUCCUUCCUAAAUCUUGAGCCUGUUGGCCUCCAGCCUGGGAUUUACACCGUCAGCUCUCCUGGGUCCCCAGUUCACUGCUCACCCUGCAGAUCUUGGGACUUGUCAGCCUUCAUAACCGAAGAGUUUUGUGCCUUUCCCAGGAGACCAGCAUACCUUGACUUUGCCAUUGUGAAGAAACAGAGCCCAGUUAUGGCCAUCUUGACUACUGGAAACGAGGAACUCCUUCACAUACAUGCUGCAUCCAACACUCAAAGCUAUUCUGGCUAGACACAUGUUAAAAUGGAAUUCAUGAAAGCAGAAAACACCAGGAGGAAGAAUGGAACAAGGGACAUUAACUCUGGGCAGGUGAAGUAGUCUUCUAUUUUCAGGGUCCUAUGAAAGGCUCAUUAAAGUUGAGGGCAGAGGCAGCAGUGAGAGAGUGCUGGGAGUCAGGACUUGGCCACAUGGGCCUCAGAAGAAUCUUCCAGGAAUGUGUGCUGCGUGUCUGUGUGUGUGUGUGUGUGUGUGUGUGUGUGUGUGUGUGUGUGUGCAUGAGCUGUGAGGCUUUAAUUAAUUAUUUCUUGUGUCUGAAUUCAUGAGAUACAUAUUAACAUCCAACAUGUGGUGUUUAGGACCUUGACAUGUGUAGCUUCCAGAAGAUAGUAUCGGGCAUAUUUAAAGUAAAAGGAACACAGUUUGAGAAAUAUGAUAGGAAUGCCUAUUCAAAAUGCCUAGAUUUAAACCAUGGCAUACAGUGUAAAGAGAGUUGAAAAUUAUCUCUUGCAAAACACCUGGGAUUUGUUUCUGCUUGAAUACACUAAAACAGGAAUCAAUGUAAGUCUGUUAUAUAAUCACACAUCAUAGUUAUACUAUUAUGGGGCAUGUAAGAAAAUUAUUUUGCCUUGUGACAAUUUUUCCUUCCUGUGGGAUAAAAAUAAAAUAUUAAUAAAUUUAUAACAUUGUCCCCAGAAUCAUAGAAUUAUUUUUGAUAAAUAUAUCUGCAUUUUUUACUCAAUCCUUGUGUCUUGAUUGUAAACCUUAGGGACACAAGGUAUUAAAUCAACAAAUGGCUAAUGACUACACAAAUCCUAGAUUCCAUUUAUUAUGUGCCAGGAACUGUGCUACGUGGCUUUACUGGUGAAUUCUACUAAAUGUUUAAAGAAGGAUUAAUGCCAAUCAUUUCCAAGCUCUUUUAAAACAUCCUAACUCAUGCUACAAGUUACGCAUUACCUUGAUACCAAAGCCAGACAUAUACACCACAAGAAAAAAAUCACACACCAGUAUACAUUAACAAUUUAUAUGCAGAAAUCCUCAAAUAAUUUUAGCAAACUGAAUCCAGCAGCACAUUAUAAAUAUUACAUUUUUUAAAUUUUUAUUUAUUUUUGAGAGAGAGAAAGUGCAUGCACAUGAGCGAGGGAGUGGCAGAGAGAGAUAGAGACACAGAAUCUGAAGCAGGCUCCAGGCUGUCAGCACAGAGCCCAACGUGGGGCUCGAACUCAUGAACCGUGAGAUCGUGACCUGAGCCGAAGUCAGGUGCUUAACCAACUGAGCCACCCAGGCGCCCCUCCAACAUUUUCUGACAAAAAACACUCAGCAAACUAGGAAUAGAAGGGAAAUGACCAAACAUAAUAAAGGGUAUUUAUGAAAUACCCAUAACUAAUAUCAGACUCAAUGGUGGAAGACUGAAAUCUUUCCAUCUAACAUCAGGAACAAGACCAGAAUGCUUGCUUUCACUGCUUCUAUUCAAGAUCGUAACAUAGUUCAUAGCCAGAGCAGUGAUGUAAGAAGAAAUAAAAGGCAUCUAAAUUGGAAAGGAAGAAA
Acinonyx jubatus (cheetah) is the source of this 3215-nucleotide long non-coding RNA. RefSeq lists it as uncharacterized. Lineage: Eukaryota; Metazoa; Chordata; Mammalia; Carnivora; Felidae. The record is from RefSeq and is a predicted model, not a curated record. The transcript has 3 exons.